GGACUACCCGGGUAUCUAAUCCUGUUUGCUCCCCACGCUUUCGCGUCUCAGCGUCAGUUGCGUUCCAGAGAGCCGCCUUCGCCACGGGUGUUCUUCCUGAUAUCUGCGCAUUUCACCGCUACACCAGGAAUUCCACUCUCCUCUCCCGCACUCUAGCCCGCCAGUUUCUCACGACCGCUCGGGGUUGAGCCCCGAGAUUUCACGCAAGACUUAGCGAGCCGCCUACACGCUCUUUACGCCCAAUGAUUCCGGACAACGCUCGGUCCCUACGUAUUACCGCGGCUGCUGGCAC
This 292-nucleotide ribosomal RNA is filed under the name uncultured bacterium. RNAcentral's name for it is "partial 16S ribosomal RNA". The record is from RNAcentral.